This 506-nucleotide ribosomal RNA is filed under the name uncultured bacterium. Its description in RNAcentral is "partial 16S ribosomal RNA". It matches the Rfam family "Bacterial small subunit ribosomal RNA", at positions 29 to 523 of the family's 1533-position model. The record is from RNAcentral.
AGUGAACGCUGGCGGUAGGCCUAACACAUGCAAGUCGAACGGCAGCACAGAGGAGCUUGCUCCUUGGGUGGCGAGUGGCGGACGGGUGAGGAAUACAUCGGAAUCUACUCUGUCGUGGGGGAUAACGUAGGGAAACUUACGCUAAUACCGCAUACGACCUACGGGUGAAAGCAGGGGAUCUUCGGACCUUGCGCGAUUGAAUGAGCCGAUGUCGGAUUAGCUAGUUGGCGGGGUAAAGGCCCACCAAGGCGACGAUCCGUAGCUGGUCUGAGAGGAAGAUCAGCCACACUAGAACUGAGACACGGUCCAGACUCCUACGGGAGGCAGCAGUGGGGAAAAGUGGACAAUGGGCGCAAGCCUGAUCCAGCCAUACCGCGUGGUGGAAGAAGGCCUUCGGGUUGAAAAGCCCUUUUGUUGGGAAAGAAAUCCGUCUGGUUAAUACCCGGAUGGGAUGACGGUACCCAAAGAAUAAGCACCGGCUAACUUCGUGCCAGCAGCCGCCGUAA